GCGGAGGGAUCAUUACUGAGUUACCGCUCUAUAACCCUUUGUGAACAUACCUACAACUGUUGCUUCGGCGGGUAGCCCGUCCCCUGAAAAGGACGCCUCCCGGCCCGGACCGGACCCCCGCGGGACCGGACCCGGCGCCCGCCGGAGGAUAACCAAACUCUAUUGUAACGACGUUUCUUCUGAGUGGCAUAAGCAAAAUAAUCAAAACUUUUAACAACGGAUCUCUUGGUUCUGGCAUCGAUGAAGAACGCAGCGAAAUGCGAUAAGUAAUGUGAAUUGCAGAAUUCAGUGAAUCAUCGAAUCUUUGAACGCACAUUGCGCCCGCCAGCAUUCUGGCGGGCAUGCCUGUUCGAGCGUCAUUUCAACCCUCAAGCUCUGCUUGGUGUUGGGGCUCUACGGUCGACGUAGGCCCUCAAAGGUAGUGGCGGACCCUCCCGGAGCCUCCUUUGCGUAGUAACAUUUCGUCUCGCACUGGGAUCCGGAGGGACUCUUGCCGUAAAAGCCACCAAUUUUCCAAAGGUUGAACUCGGAUCAGGUAGGAAUACCCGGUUAACUUAAGCAUAUCAAU
RNAcentral lists this ribosomal RNA (568 nucleotides) under Colletotrichum cf. boninense UFMGCB 5024. RNAcentral's name for it is "eukaryotic LSU rRNA". The stretch from base 206 to 359 matches the Rfam family "5.8S ribosomal RNA". Lineage: Eukaryota; Fungi; Ascomycota; Sordariomycetes; Glomerellales; Glomerellaceae. The record is from RNAcentral.